Molecule: long non-coding RNA, 1789 nt
Organism: Myotis myotis
Lineage: Eukaryota; Metazoa; Chordata; Mammalia; Chiroptera; Vespertilionidae
Exons: 2
Source: RefSeq, a predicted model, not a curated record
CUUAACUUUUAAACACACUUUGUGAUGUGAUAAGUGGAAACAAUCCUUUUGUGGUUAAAACACAUCAACAAACAGAUAUAGGCCAACAUCUAUGAGUGUCUCCCUGGGACAAAGGGCCUGGCGAGGGCUCUGCUACUUCCGCCGGGCGCUCAGUCCCGCUCUCCAAAGCCUCCCAUCAGUAGUAUGUGCACAGACAGGGACUGGGGCGGGUCGUUUCCAACGUCCUGCAAACCCAGAUUCCCUUUCUUCCUUAAGAGGAAUGGCAAUGGAUUUCAAGCUCCGAAAAACAGCAAGCACUUCCUUCACCUGCUAGCUAGAGUCCUGGUCUAGGCCACUUACCUUGAGCCCCAUGUGAGGCAUAAAAACCAAAAAUGUGAAGACAAAUCUGGUGAAAGUCCUGUAGGACUUGAUGGUUGCCUGAGUGUUUCUUCUUUGGAGAAAGGGGAGCGUUUUCACCUGAUUGAGAUGAAUUGCAUUACAAUACAGGGCACAAGGGCCGCCUGUGGUCUUGCCUGUCCUUACACACAGAAUGGGGGCAUCUGGGUGUCACGCCCUUCCCUCCUUCCCACUGCAGGACAGUAACACAUUCUCUUCUGGAGGAAAGUGGUUGAAAAUCAGGAAUUACCAGCAACUCUCCCCUGGUCUCUCUAGAAAGCUUCCAUUUAUAAGACAGAUGCCGUUUUACUUACUGUCACGGAACCUGAGUUUUCUUGCCUGUGAAAUUAAGAUGGUAAGAAUUACACUAAAUGAUUUCCCAUGGCCCUAAAAAUAUACUCAGAAUUACUCUAUUUCCACCUAGUGGCACAACGGAACAUUUCCCGUAGGUUUUCUUUGACAAAUGUUAGCUUGUCAGCUUCACACCGAACAGUCGCACACAUAGCUUGGGUGUGUAUUGUGUGAUUUUAUUUAAAGACACCUUCCCAGGAACAGCUUGUGUGGAUAAAUGUGCCUUCCACAUAGCUGGUUAUGGGGUGUAAUCAGUCCCUAAGGACAGAAGGCGUGCAGCUGAUAGAGAAACAAAGAGCAGCCCAUUCAGCAAAUCCCUGCAGCUCAUCAUUCAGCAAAUCUUCUCUCAGUACAUGGCUGGAUUAGUCCAAAAGGGGAGAAAAAUUAAAGCGAUCACUAUAAAGCCGUACUUCUCAAAUUUCAGUAUGCAAACCAAUCGCCGGGAUCUUGUUAAAACGUGGGCUGAUUCAGUACAUCCAGAGGAAGGUGCAAGGUCAGCAUUUCUGACAGCCUCCCAGGGCUGCCAGUGGUGCCGCUUGGGUCCGGGUGUUGAGGGCAAGGCUGUGAAAUGCGCACAGGGCCCUGCUCCACCCGCUGGCUCCACUUGAGUGAUCAGUACUUCCUGGUUCUACUCCAACGUGAUGCAUAUAGAAAAGACAGGAAACUGGACAAACGCACUCCAAACACUAUCUGACCCAACCUGUGGACUUUUAAAACAUCAGCCUUAGGUUUUGGAUCCUGACUCGUUCUGGCUUGUCUUGCUCUAGACAUGCUUACUAUCCAGCUUGAAAACGGAUCUUCUCUAAGAAAUUCCCGCUUGGAAUCAGUUCCAAAAGAAAACCCUAGUAAGUAGCUAGAGCCCAGAUCUGCGUCUGGAGGGUUGUCUGCAGCAGCAGAAACCCCCGGGGGAGACAAGGGCGGGGCCACAGAGCUGAAGGCACCCCUGACGGUUCACUUCGAAAUCCGCCAAGUUGCGCAGCCACAAGGACUUGGCAGUCGCCACCAGCCAUCGAUGGAAGCUUGCUUUGAGUCGUUUGGGGUAAUAAAAUGAUUUCUCAUGGAA